GUGCCAGCCGCCGCGGUAAUACGUAGGUGGCAAGCGUUAUCCGGAAUUAUUGGGCGUAAAGCGCGCGUAGGCGGUUUCUUAAGUCUGAUGUGAAAGCCCACGGCUCAACCGUGGAGGGUCAUUGGAAACUGGGAAACUUGAGUGCAGAAGAGGAAAGUGGAAUUCCAUGUGUAGCGGUGAAAUGCGCAGAGAUAUGGAGGAACACCAGUGGCGAAGGCGACUUUCUGGUCUGUAACUGACGCUGAUGUGCGAAAGCGUGGGGAUCAAACAGGAUUAGAUA
RNAcentral lists this ribosomal RNA (280 nucleotides) under uncultured Staphylococcus sp. RNAcentral's name for it is "partial 16S ribosomal RNA". It matches the Rfam family "Bacterial small subunit ribosomal RNA", at positions 505 to 784 of the family's 1533-position model. Lineage: Bacteria; Bacillati; Bacillota; Bacilli; Caryophanales; Staphylococcaceae. The record is from RNAcentral.